UACGGAGGAUGCGAGCGUUAUCCGGAUUUAUUGGGUUUAAAGGGUGCGUAGGCGGGCUUUUAAGUCAGCGGUAAAAAUUCGGGGCUCAACCCCGUCCGGCCGUUGAAACUGGGGGCCUUGAGUGGGCGAGAAGAAGGCGGAAUGCGUGGUGUAGCGGUGAAAUGCAUAGAUAUCACGCAGAACCCCGAUUGCGAAGGCAGCCGUCCGGCGCCCUACUGACGCUGAGGCACGAAAGUGCGGGGAUCGAACAGG
This 252-nucleotide ribosomal RNA is filed under the name uncultured bacterium. RNAcentral describes it as "partial 16S ribosomal RNA". It matches the Rfam family "Bacterial small subunit ribosomal RNA", at positions 524 to 776 of the family's 1533-position model. The record is from RNAcentral.